Molecule: long non-coding RNA, 1046 nt
Organism: Daphnia carinata
Lineage: Eukaryota; Metazoa; Arthropoda; Branchiopoda; Diplostraca; Daphniidae
Exons: 3
Source: RefSeq, a predicted model, not a curated record
UAAUGGGGAAUCAAAUCAAGUCUGGAAGUGUUACAGGAUGGAAGAGUCAGCCUACAGAUGAAAAAACACUGAGAGUGCAUUACCAUUAAGGUAUGAGGUAAAGUAAUAGAGUAUGCACAUUGUCUAAUGAGAAGUACCAUCUUGUGUUAAUAAAUCCAGUACAACAGCAAUCCUUUAUAGUUCUGUCACAGCUAGAAACCUCAAAUAAUUCUGCUUCUCUGUCUAAAGAACAACUUGUCCUUUACGUUCAGAGUGUUGGGGAAACUGGGUACUUAAAUGGCCCUAAAGAUGUUUUAAUUUUGCUGCCAUUGCAGAGAUGAACAUCAUACAUGGACUCUUUAGGUCUAAUCUACCCAAAAAAAUUUUAUCCAAUAGGAAAGGAUUUUCAUGUACUGGGAACACAACUAUCAACAAUGCAACAUUGUACAGCUUCCACCAGAAGUUGAAUCUAUGAGUCAUGUAAGUUACAUGAUCAACAGUUGAUAUGUUUAACGGUGUUGUUUUUCUUUUCUCAAUAUAGGUUAAUAGUAACAUUGGAUCUGAAAAAAUUCUUGGUUGGGGCAAGACACUGAAUAAAUUGUAUUGAUUGGAUGGAUGACAUGACAUUUCUAUACUUAAUUCGGAUUCCCCAGACGGUAUUUGAUAUUAAAAAAAUUGAAGUGCAUAUCUGGGCUCCCUUCUUUUCUGAAGCCCCGUUUCCCCUUGACUCGUAAUAAGCCCGUAGGGGGUCAUGCCCCUACUGUACGGUAUAUAUAAAAACAACAUAUACCGAGGUUUGGAGGGCUCUGGCCGGAAAGGGGACGUGGGGUGCCGCUUAGUCCGAUGAUGUGUUCACGGAGGGUGACGUGGCUGCCCACAAAUCCGAACUAAAGGUUAAUCGCUCCUGUAAAAAUGUUCCAAAUCUUCAGCUCUUCUUCCGGCUUCUCUUAGCCAAUCACCGGGUAAUCUCCCCGGUGGGUCAACAAGGCAGUGUCUCCCCCUGCCUGGGUUGACGGCAACUUUUGAAAGGGCUAUUGUGCCUUUUUAAAGUUGCAAAAAUAAUUGUA